CGCACGGGUGAGUAACACGUGAGUGACCUGCCUUUUAGACUGGAACAACUUACCGAAAGGUGAGCUAAUGCCGGAUGAGUUAUAUAAGUGCAUGUUUAUAUAGGAAAAGUUGGGGAGACCUGACGCUGAAAGAUGGACUCGCGUCCCAUUAGCUGGUUGGUAGGGUAAUGGCCUACCAAGGCGACGAUGGGUAGCCGGCCUGAGAGGGUGGCCGGCCACACUGGGACUGAGACACGGCCCAGACUCCUACGGGAGGCAGCAG
RNAcentral lists this ribosomal RNA (262 nucleotides) under uncultured bacterium. RNAcentral's name for it is "partial 16S ribosomal RNA". It matches the Rfam family "Bacterial small subunit ribosomal RNA", at positions 99 to 354 of the family's 1533-position model. The record is from RNAcentral.